CUCCUCACGCAUAGCAUAGGGUUCCUCUCGAGAGAGGUGCGCCGCCGCCGCCGGAUUCCUCCUCCCCGGCGAAAAGUCCUUCCCCUACCUUCUUCCUUCAUGAUGCGGGGAGCUGGAAAUGGAGGAUUGCCUCCGCCAGGCUGAGGGGUCGACCUGGAAGCCGCCUUGAAUGACCACAACGGAUCUGGCCAUCAGCGAUUAGGCCGAGCCUCCUGCUCCGGCCACGGCCAUCCCGACGUCGGAUCUGGUGCUCAUGCUAUGUUCUUCUCCUCGUGCAACCCCUCCCCCAUGUUUAUUUUGCCUCCGUCCUACCCCGCUCUGCAUCAACUAACUCGGCGCUGCAUGAUCCUGGGGCAGUGAGGUUGAUCGGAUGGUGUUCGUCAUGUUAGGAAGAUGAGUGUGUAACUCGUGGAGUGCAAUCUGUUGCAUGUUAGGAAGUGGCCGUGACCUUGAUGGGUUGGGGCUCGCCUCCCACACUUCUCUUCCUCGUGUACAACAACCAUGGCGGCCCCUAGGAAUGCUUGAUCUAAAAAUCCCUUGAAUUCGUUGCCCAAGUUGAAUCCUAUGACCUGACUAUCUGUCAUGGUGCAGGUGUCGAAUUGUUGAUGGAGGCUUUAGGUCGUCCUUCUCAAGAAGCUGAGGCUGGCCAUUAAGGAUCUGGGGUGAAGGUCAUGUCAUCUCUUCUCGUGGAUCUAAUGCCCACUGCUUCCACUGCUUAUAUUUUGAGCUCUUUGAUCUGAGCAAAAACCAUGGGAAGAAUUCACGGACAGGUACUGCUGAAUCAAUAGCAGCAUGCCAGAAACUGAAGGCAGACAGACCUCCAAGCAGCAUUCUGUGUCCUCCCAAAGGACAUGCAGCAGCUGCUGCUUUCCAAUCCUAAACGAGCCAUACUUCUUCAAGUGAGGCAAGAAAAGGUCUCAAGACUUGGGGACAUUGUCUCCCAGACAAGUUUGUAGCAGUUCACUUUUUCUUUGUACUAUUAAUAUUGCAAUUCUUUUAUCCACAGAGUAAAAAAUUCGUACGAUUAUUUAUACAUGGGUGCUGGCCUGCUGGAUUUGACUCAUUUUUAUCCACAAAGUCUAAAAUUUACACGCAUUUUUUAUAUAUACAUGGCUGCUGGAUUUGACUCAAAUUACCUUUGUGUCUCACCCUGUAUGAUUCCACUAAAAAAAGUUUCAUUGAAGAAACAGUAACAUAACCAAAUGAUUUAUUGUCUUGGUUCUUUUUUUAUCUGCAGAAACUAUAUAGCUUAAGAAAUCAUAUUUUACAUUAUGUAACAGUCCUGAGCAUCCUCCAUUAAAAAUAAAUAGGCAAGAUUAUUCAGAUUGAGGAUCUUAAGGAGUGAUGUUAAUGGUUGGUCUUAUAGCUGGAUGCCCAUCAAAUUAUGCUGGGGUGCGAACUGUCCCGACAACGACACUUCUGCCUGCUGACUGCGUGAAGGACUGCCUGGCUCAACCUCUAUCUCAAUGUUAACUCAAUGCCCAACAAUGUCGUCAAUUGUGAGCAAGCAGUUACUUCAAAUUCCAUUGCCCAAAUGCCGUAUGUACGUACCCUGAGUACAAGAGACGAUGGAUGCAAAAGUCAGAAAAUUAGGAACCUGAAGGGAAAAUGGAAGGCGGCUUUGAUCGACAUUCAGCCCAGAGUACAAGGAUGAUCCCUACAUCUAUACUUUUGAUAUGCUGAAGCACAUUGGCAUUGAGCCAAGGCAGAUGUAGGGCAGUGGUGGCGGGUGCAUAUGUAGGGCAGCGGGAGCGAGUACAACCAUCUUAGGGAGAUCCUCUUCUCAUAUCAUGCCCAGUUGUUACUCCUCCAUUCACUCGCCUCUCACCAUAUGUUCUACAAUAGCACGAUGGCGGCGGCACAGAUGUGUGCAGCGGUGAUGUUCUGCUCAAGGAGAGUCUCUGGCGGCUCGGCGGGGAUGCGCUGACCCUCUCUACGUCAGCAUUUUCUGGCGGCAUCUGCCCCAUCCAUCGAUGGUGUGGCGCCUUUGAUCCGGGAAAGGAGGUAGUGGCCUUCUUCAGUGGUGUGUUGGAUGUGACGUGCUGGGGCCCGUAGCUGCUUGGCGACGGCAUGCCCCGCUGGUGUCAGGCCCUCUCUCCUUCGAGCUGGUGCGAUUUUGUUCUUGCUGCAGCAUUCCAUGAGGACCUCGAUGUUUUCGGCUCCUCUCUCUAUUUUAGUCUACAGACUACAUCAAUUAAGGUUCAACUGUCUUAUGUCUCUACUUCGUAGAUUGUAUACAUGCACAAGCUAAAUAUAGGUUGCAAGAGGUUGGAUGAAGAUGCAACACAUUCAUGUAAAUGUUGCUCCUGCACUGUGUUUAUGCACACUUUUUAGUAUGAAUCACUACACGCUGGAGAAGUUCCUGGAGGCGAUCAGGAGCAGAGGCAUCAAGAUAUGCCCUGGGUGCAAUGCCUCGCAGGCUGUAGCACCUGCCCAGUUAUGCAUAUGUCGGCAAGACAAGUUUUGCCUGCUCUGCUUCAUAUCAGUCUCUUCUCAUCGCGGCCAGAGCUUGGAAGCAAUUCAACUAGGCACCAUGACGCUAGAUGGAAGUACAACUUCUUGUCGGAAGGUAUGUGACUUUGGUUAU
Molecule: long non-coding RNA, 2587 nt
Organism: Triticum dicoccoides
Lineage: Eukaryota; Viridiplantae; Streptophyta; Magnoliopsida; Poales; Poaceae
Exons: 11
Source: RefSeq, a predicted model, not a curated record